This is a long non-coding RNA of Vicia villosa (hairy vetch), 555 nucleotides long. RefSeq lists it as uncharacterized. The record is from RefSeq and is a predicted model, not a curated record. NCBI's taxonomy places the organism in Eukaryota, Viridiplantae, Streptophyta, Magnoliopsida, Fabales, Fabaceae. The transcript has 2 exons.
AACAAGCAUGAAUAAACCCUAAACCCCCAAAUCAAUUCCCAGAUAUCUCAUGGUUUCAUUAUGAUUCACAGGUACAUGGUAGUUAUGAAUUAAAGACAGAAAAAGCUAAAGCGCAAAUCGAAUGAAGAAAUAAAAACCUAGGUUUUUGUGUGACUACUUUUGAGUAAUUUUUGGACAGAUUGAAGCAGCGUUUUGGACUAUUUUGCUUGUUGCUGUUUUAUUGCUUUUCGAAUGCAGGUUUCGCUUGGUCUAUUUUCGUGUAAAGUUUGGACUAUUAGGGACUGUUUUUGCAGGUAGUAGUAUGCAGGUUGUUGAACAGCAUCAACACAUUGGAGCAACAUAAUUUUUUUGGAGUUUUGUGGCUAUUCUUUUGCAGUGGGCAUGAUGUUGAUGAUGGAUGAGGCAAUGGAUUAUGGAGACCGAUGAUGACAUGAAAACAAUUCUUAACUUGUUUUUUUUCUUUUGCUGUAACUUAUAUUAUAUGGUUAAUAUAAUACAAAUCAAAGUGUAAGGAGAAAGUUUACCAUUUAAUUAAAAUAAUUAUUCACUUGAUAA